CCUACGGGUGGCAGCAGUGAGGAAUAUUGGUCAAUGGACGCAAGUCUGAACCAGCCAUGCAGCGUGCAGGAAGACUGCCCUAUGAGUUGUAAACUGCUUUUAUACAAGGGUAAACGCAGGUACGCGUAUCUGUCUGAAAGUAUCGUACGAAUAAGGAUCGGCUAACUCCGUGCCAGCAGCCGCGGUAAUACGGAGGAUUCAAGCGUUAUCCGGAUUUAUUGGGUUUAAAGGGUGCGUAGGCGGUUGGAUAAGUUAGUGGUGAAAUUACGAGGCUCAACGUAAGAAUUGCAAUUGAUACUGUGCGGCUAGAGAGCAGUUGCGGUAGGCGGAAUGUAUGGUGUAGCGGUGAAAUGCUUAGAGAUCAUACAGAACACCGAUUGCGAAGGCAGCUUACCAAGCUACUUCUGACGUUGAGGCACGAAAGUGUGGGGAGCAAACAGGAUUAGAUACCCGUGUAGUC
RNAcentral lists this ribosomal RNA (460 nucleotides) under uncultured bacterium. Its description in RNAcentral is "partial 16S ribosomal RNA". It matches the Rfam family "Bacterial small subunit ribosomal RNA", at positions 338 to 795 of the family's 1533-position model. The record is from RNAcentral.